GGGUUGUGAGGUUAAGCGACUAAGCGUACACGGUGGAUGCCCUGGCAGUCAGAGGCGAUGAAGGACGUGCUAAUCUGCGAUAAGCGUCGGUGAGGUGAUAUGAACCGUUAUAACCGGCGAUUUCCGAAUGGGGAAACCCAGUGUGUUUCGACACACUAUCAUUAACUGAAUCCAUAGGUUAAUGAGGCGAACCGGGGGAACUGAAACAUCUAAGUACCCCGAGGAAAAGAAAUCAACCGAGAUUCCCCCAGUAGCGGCGAGCGAACGGGGAGGAGCCCAGAGCCUGAAUCAGUGUGUGUGUUAGUGGAAGCGUCUGGAAAGGCGCGCGAUACAGGGUGACAGCCCCGUACACAAAAAUGCACAUGCUGUGAGCUCGAUGAGUAGGGCGGGACACGUGGUAUCCUGUCUGAAUAUGGGGGGACCAUCCUCCAAGGCUAAAUACUCCUGACUGACCGAUAGUGAACCAGUACCGUGAGGGAAAGGCGAAAAGAACCCCGGCGAGGGGAGUGAAAAAGAACCUGAAACCGUGUACGUACAAGCAGUGGGAGCCUCUUAAUGGGGUGACUGCGUACCUUUUGUAUAAUGGGUCAGCGACUUAUAUUCUGUAGCAAGGUUAACCGAAUAGGGGAGCCGAAGGGAAACCGAGUCUUAACUGGGCGUUAAGUUGCAGGGUAUAGACCCGAAACCCGGUGAUCUAGCCAUGGGCAGGUUGAAGGUUGGGUAACACUAACUGGAGGACCGAACCGACUAAUGUUGAAAAAUUAGCGGAUGACUUGUGGCUGGGGGUGAAAGGCCAAUCAAACCGGGAGAUAGCUGGUUCUCCCCGAAAGCUAUUUAGGUAGCGCCUCGUGAAUUCAUCUCCGGGGGUAGAGCACUGUUUCGGCAAGGGGGUCAUCCCGACUUACCAACCCGAUGCAAACUGCGAAUACCGGAGAAUGUUAUCACGGGAGACACACGGCGGGUGCUAACGUCCGUCGUGAAGAGGGAAACAACCCAGACCGCCAGCUAAGGUCCCAAAGUCAUGGUUAAGUGGGAAACGAUGUGGGAAGGCCCAGACAGCCAGGAUGUUGGCUUAGA
This 1077-nucleotide ribosomal RNA is filed under the name Escherichia coli. RNAcentral describes it as "partial 23S ribosomal RNA". It matches the Rfam family "Bacterial large subunit ribosomal RNA", at positions 1 to 1110 of the family's 2925-position model. Lineage: Bacteria; Pseudomonadati; Pseudomonadota; Gammaproteobacteria; Enterobacterales; Enterobacteriaceae. The record is from RNAcentral.